UGGGGAAUCUUGCACAAUGGGCGCAAGCCUGAUGCAGCCAUGCCGCGUGUAUGAAGAAGGCCUUCGGGUUGUAAAGUACUUUCAGCGGGGAGGAAGGGAGUAAAGUUAAUACCUUUGCUCAUUGACGUUACCCGCAGAAGAAGCACCGGCAAACUCCGUGCCAGCAGCCGCGGUAAUACGGAGGGUGCAAGCGUUAAUCGGAAUUACUGGGCGUAAAGCGCACGCAGGCGGUUUGUUAAGUCAGAAGUGAAAUCCCCGGGCUCAACCUGGGAACUGCAUCUGAUACUGGCAAGCUUGAGUCUCGGAGAGGGGGGUGGAAUUCCAGGUGUAGCGGUGAAAUGCGUAGAGAUCUGGAGGAAUACCGGUGGCGAAGGCGGCCCCCUGGACGAAGACUGACGCUCAGGUGCGAAAGCGUGGGGAGCAAACAGG
RNAcentral lists this ribosomal RNA (429 nucleotides) under Chloroflexota bacterium. RNAcentral describes it as "Chloroflexi bacterium partial 16S ribosomal RNA". It matches the Rfam family "Bacterial small subunit ribosomal RNA", at positions 355 to 776 of the family's 1533-position model. Lineage: Bacteria; Bacillati; Chloroflexota. The record is from RNAcentral.